RNAcentral lists this ribosomal RNA (468 nucleotides) under uncultured bacterium. Its description in RNAcentral is "partial 16S ribosomal RNA". It matches the Rfam family "Bacterial small subunit ribosomal RNA", at positions 28 to 507 of the family's 1533-position model. The record is from RNAcentral.
GACGAACGCUGGCGGCGUGCUUAACACAUGCAAGUCGAACGGAAAGGCCCUGCUUUUGUGGGGUGCUCGAGUGGCGAACGGGUGAGUAACACGUGAGUAACCUGCCCUUGACUUUGGGAUAACUUCAGGAAACUGGGGCUGAUACCGGAUAGGAGCUCCUGCUGCAUGUUGGGGGUUGGAAAGUUUCGGCGGUUGGGGAUGGACUCGCGGCUUAUCAGCUUGUUGGUGGGGUAGUGGCUUACCAGGGCUUUGACGGGUAGCCGGCCUGAGAGGGUGACCGGCGACAUGGGGACUGAGAUACGGCCCAGACGCCUACGGGAGGCAGCAGGGGGGAGUAUUGCACAAUGGGGGGAAGCCUGAUGCAGAAGCGCCGCGUGCGUAAUGACGGCCUUCGGGUGGAAAACCGCUUUCGACUGAGACGAAGCGGGAGUGACGGUAAUGGGUAAAAAAGCACCGGCUAACUACGUG